CCCUUAGAUGUUCUGGGCUGCACGCGCGCUACACUGACGCACGCAACAGGUGCCUGCUCCGAGAGGACUGGGUAAUCAUUUGAGUGUGCGUCGUGAUGGGGAUAGAAUAUUGUAAUUAUUACUCUUCAACGAGGAAUUCCUAGUAAGCGCCAGUCAGCAGCUUGCGCUGAUUACGUCCCUGCCCUUUGUACACACCGCCCGUCGCUCCUACCGAUGGGUGAUCCGGUGAAUGAUUCGGACUUCAGCGGCUCCCCUGGGGUGCGCCGGAGAAAGUUUUGUGAACCUUAUCACUUGGAGGAAGGAGAAGGCGUAACA
RNAcentral lists this ribosomal RNA (315 nucleotides) under uncultured eukaryote. Its description in RNAcentral is "partial 18S ribosomal RNA". It matches the Rfam family "Eukaryotic small subunit ribosomal RNA", at positions 1470 to 1796 of the family's 1831-position model. The record is from RNAcentral.